Molecule: long non-coding RNA, 314 nt
Filed under: Marmota marmota marmota (Alpine marmot)
Lineage: Eukaryota; Metazoa; Chordata; Mammalia; Rodentia; Sciuridae
Description: lncRNA (ENSMMMG00000023614.1)
Source: RNAcentral
CAAGCGCCGUGCAAAACACCUGAAAGUGUCUCGUGUGUAGUAAGCAAAUAUGCACGUUCAAUUUUAGUGUCUUCCCUUUCAGAAUGAGUUUUUGUAUGUGGAACGCAUUGCAGGAAGGUCUGGCCAUCCCCUGCCAAAAAAAAAAAAAAAGGAAGAAAAGGAAAAAGAACCAAAUCACCACCUGUGCCACUCCAAAGGAAGAAUCCCUGAUCUUUGGGAAUUCCACCCUCUGCAACAUGGAUGGCAAUACUAGUCUGCAGUGGAGCCUCCUCACUCCUAAGAUCAACUGUGAGUAAGUUACCAGAGUUUCCCAG